RNAcentral lists this ribosomal RNA (503 nucleotides) under uncultured bacterium. Its description in RNAcentral is "bacterial SSU rRNA". It matches the Rfam family "Bacterial small subunit ribosomal RNA", at positions 32 to 506 of the family's 1533-position model. The record is from RNAcentral.
AAUCAACGCUGGCGGCGUGCCUCAGACAUGCAAGUCGAACGCGAAAUUUCCCUUCGGGGAGAGAGUAGAGUGGCGCACGGGUGAGUAACACGUAGGUAAUUUGCCUUUGGGUGGGGAAUAACUCAGGGAAACUUGAGCUAAUACCGCAUAAUGCAGCGGCUCGACAUCGAGACAGUUGUUAAAGCGGGGGAUUGGAGCAAUCCGACCUCGCGCCUAAAGAGAAGCCUGCGGCAGAUUAGCUAGUUGGUAAGGUAAUGGCUUACCAAGGCGACGAUCUGUAACCGGCCUGAGAGGGCGGUCGGUCACACUGACACUGACAUACGGGUCAGACUCCUACGGGAGGCAGCAGUCGGGAAUUUUGGGCAAUGGGCGCAAGCCUGACCCAGCAACGCCGCGUGAAGGAUGAAAUUUUUCGGAAUGUAAACUUCGCAAGAACAGGAAGAAUAAGUGUGGGACAAUACCCACAUGAUGACGGUACUGUUUGUAAGCUCGGCUAACUCCGU